Molecule: ribosomal RNA, 1168 nt
Filed under: Salmonella enterica subsp. enterica serovar Typhimurium
Lineage: Bacteria; Pseudomonadati; Pseudomonadota; Gammaproteobacteria; Enterobacterales; Enterobacteriaceae
Description: bacterial SSU rRNA
Rfam family: Bacterial small subunit ribosomal RNA
Source: RNAcentral
UGAAGAGUUUGAUCAUGGCUCAGAUUGAACGCUGGCGGCAGGCCUAACACAUGCAAGUCGAACGGUAACAGGAAGCAGCUUGCUGCUUCGCUGACGAGUGGCGGACGGGUGAGUAAUGUCUGGGAAACUGCCUGAUGGAGGGGGAUAACUACUGGAAACGGUGGCUAAUACCGCAUAACGUCGCAAGACCAAAGAGGGGGACCUUCGGGCCUCUUGCCAUCAGAUGUGCCCAGAUGGGAUUAGCUUGUUGGUGAGGUAACGGCUCACCAAGGCGACGAUCCCUAGCUGGUCUGAGAGGAUGACCAGCCACACUGGAACUGAGACACGGUCCAGACUCCUACGGGAGGCAGCAGUGGGGAAUAUUGCACAAUGGGCGCAAGCCUGAUGCAGCCAUGCCGCGUGUAUGAAGAAGGCCUUCGGGUUGUAAAGUACUUUCAGCGGGGAGGAAGGUGUUGUGGUUAAUAACCGCAGCAAUUGACGUUACCCGCAGAAGAAGCACCGGCUAACUCCGUGCCAGCAGCCGCGGUAAUACGGAGGGUGCAAGCGUUAAUCGGAAUUACUGGGCGUAAAGCGCACGCAGGCGGUCUGUCAAGUCGGAUGUGAAAUCCCCGGGCUCAACCUGGGAACUGCAUUCGAAACUGGCAGGCUUGAGUCUUGUAGAGGGGGGUAGAAUUCCAGGUGUAGCGGUGAAAUGCGUAGAGAUCUGGAGGAAUACCGGUGGCGAAGGCGGCCCCCUGGACAAAGACUGACGCUCAGGUGCGAAAGCGUGGGGAGCAAACAGGAUUAGAUACCCUGGUAGUCCACGCCGUAAACGAUGUCUACUUGGAGGUUGUGCCCUUGAGGCGUGGCUUCCGGAGCUAACGCGUUAAGUAGACCGCCUGGGGAGUACGGCCGCAAGGUUAAAACUCAAAUGAAUUGACGGGGGCCCGCACAAGCGGUGGAGCAUGUGGUUUAAUUCGAUGCAACGCGAAGAACCUUACCUGGUCUUGACAUCCACAGAAGAAUCCAGAGAUGGAUUUGUGCCUUCGGGAACUGUGAGACAGGUGCUGCAUGGCUGUCGUCAGCUCGUGUUGUGAAAUGUUGGGUUAAGUCCCGCAACGAGCGCAACCCUUAUCCUUUGUUGCCAGCGAUUAGGUCGGGAACUCAAAGGAGACUGCCAGUGAUAAAC